RNAcentral lists this ribosomal RNA (497 nucleotides) under uncultured bacterium. RNAcentral's name for it is "partial 16S ribosomal RNA". It matches the Rfam family "Bacterial small subunit ribosomal RNA", at positions 28 to 507 of the family's 1533-position model. The record is from RNAcentral.
GAUGAACGCUGGCGGCGUGCCUAAUACAUGCAAGUCGAACGAAAGCACGAAACGCUUGCUUCUCUGAUUUUAGCGGCGGACGGGUGAGUAACACGUGGGUAACACACCUAUAAGACUGGGGUAACUUAGGGAAAACGGAACUAAUAACGGCAAAUCUUCUCAACCGCAUGGAUCAAAAGUUAAAGGCGGUCUUGCUGUCGAUUUUCGCUGGUUCCAGGCGGCAUUAGCUAGUUGGUAAGGUAACGGCUUACCAAGGCCACGAUGCAUAGCCGACCUGAGAGGGUGAUCAGCCACACUGGAACUGAGACACGGUCCAGACUCCUACGGGAGGCAGCAGUGGGGAAUCUUCCGCAAUGGGCGAAAGCCUGACGCAGCAACGCCGCGUGAGUGAUGAAGGUCUUCGGAUCGUAAAACUCUGUUAGUAGGGAGGAACAGAUGUGUAAGAAACUGUGCACAUCUUGACGUUACCUAAUCAGAAAGCCACGGCUAACUACGUG